Molecule: microRNA precursor, 67 nt
Filed under: Tupaia belangeri (northern tree shrew)
Lineage: Eukaryota; Metazoa; Chordata; Mammalia; Scandentia; Tupaiidae
Description: miRNA (ENSTBEG00000020422.1)
Source: RNAcentral
CAUCCUGCAGAAGGUGCAGGUGUGGACUUCGCCCUCGGUGAGCAGCUUGCGUGGCCCAGGUGUGAGC